GUGCUUGCUUCAGCAGCACUCAUACUAAAAUUGGAAUGACACAGACAAGCUCAGCAGGACCCCUGCACAAGAUGAUAUGCAAAUCUGUGCAGAGUUCCAUAUUUUG
RNAcentral lists this small nuclear RNA (106 nucleotides) under Aotus nancymaae (Ma's night monkey). Lineage: Eukaryota; Metazoa; Chordata; Mammalia; Primates; Aotidae. The record is from RNAcentral.